This 2905-nucleotide ribosomal RNA is filed under the name Escherichia coli. RNAcentral's name for it is "23S ribosomal RNA". It matches the Rfam family "Bacterial large subunit ribosomal RNA". Lineage: Bacteria; Pseudomonadati; Pseudomonadota; Gammaproteobacteria; Enterobacterales; Enterobacteriaceae. The record is from RNAcentral.
GGUUAAGCGACUAAGCGUACACGGUGGAUGCCCUGGCAGUCAGAGGCGAUGAAGGACGUGCUAAUCUGCGAUAAGCGUCGGUGAGGUGAUAUGAACCGUUAUAACCGGCGAUUUCCGAAUGGGGAAACCCAGUGUGUUUCGACACACUAUCAUUAACUGAAUCCAUAGGUUAAUGAGGCGAACCGGGGGAACUGAAACAUCUAAGUACCCCGAGGAAAAGAAAUCAACCGAGAUUCCCCCAGUAGCGGCGAGCGAACGGGGAGCAGCCCAGAGCCUGAAUCAGUGUGUGUGUUAGUGGAAGCGUCUGGAAAGGCGCGCGAUACAGGGUGACAGCCCCGUACACAAAAAUGCACAUACUGUGAGCUCGAUGAGUAGGGCGGGACACGUGGUAUCCUGUCUGAAUAUGGGGGGACCAUCCUCCAAGGCUAAAUACUCCUGACUGACCGAUAGUGAACCAGUACCGUGAGGGAAAGGCGAAAAGAACCCCGGCGAGGGGAGUGAAAAAGAACCUGAAACCGUGUACGUACAAGCAGUGGGAGCCUCUUUUAUGGGGUGACUGCGUACCUUUUGUAUAAUGGGUCAGCGACUUAUAUUCUGUAGCAAGGUUAACCGAAUAGGGGAGCCGAAGGGAAACCGAGUCUUAACUGGGCGUUAAGUUGCAGGGUAUAGACCCGAAACCCGGUGAUCUAGCCAUGGGCAGGUUGAAGGUUGGGUAACACUAACUGGAGGACCGAACCGACUAAUGUUGAAAAAUUAGCGGAUGACUUGUGGCUGGGGGUGAAAGGCCAAUCAAACCGGGAGAUAGCUGGUUCUCCCCGAAAGCUAUUUAGGUAGCGCCUCGUGAAUUCAUCUCCGGGGGUAGAGCACUGUUUCGGCAAGGGGGUCAUCCCGACUUACCAACCCGAUGCAAACUGCGAAUACCGGAGAAUGUUAUCACGGGAGACACACGGCGGGUGCUAACGUCCGUCGUGAAGAGGGAAACAACCCAGACCGCCAGCUAAGGUCCCAAAGUCAUGGUUAAGUGGGAAACGAUGUGGGAAGGCCCAGACAGCCAGGAUGUUGGCUUAGAAGCAGCCAUCAUUUAAAGAAAGCGUAAUAGCUCACUGGUCGAGUCGGCCUGCGCGGAAGAUGUAACGGGGCUAAACCAUGCACCGAAGCUGCGGCAGCGACACUGUGUGUUGUUGGGUAGGGGAGCGUUCUGUAAGCCUGUGAAGGUGUGCUGUGAGGCAUGCUGGAGGUAUCAGAAGUGCGAAUGCUGACAUAAGUAACGAUAAAGCGGGUGAAAAGCCCGCUCGCCGGAAGACCAAGGGUUCCUGUCCAACGUUAAUCGGGGCAGGGUGAGUCGACCCCUAAGGCGAGGCCGAAAGGCGUAGUCGAUGGGAAACAGGUUAAUAUUCCUGUACUUGGUGUUACUGCGAAGGGGGGACGGAGAAGGCUAUGUUGGCCGGGCGACGGUUGUCCCGGUUUAAGCGUGUAGGCUGAUUUUCCAGGCAAAUCCGGAAAACUAAGGCUGAGGCGUGAUGACGAGGCACUACGGUGCUGAAGCAACAAAUGCCCUGCUUCCAGGAAAAGCCUCUAAGCAUCAGGUAACAUCAAAUCGUACCCCAAACCGACACAGGUGGUCAGGUAGAGAAUACCAAGGCGCUUGAGAGAACUCGGGUGAAGGAACUAGGCAAAAUGGUGCCGUAACUUCGGGAGAAGGCACGCUGAUAUGUAGGUGAAGUCCCUCGCGGAUGGAGCUGAAAUCAGUCGAAGAUACCAGCUGGCUGCAACUGUUUAUUAAAAACACAGCACUGUGCAAACACGAAAGUGGACGUAUACGGUGUGACGCCUGCCCGGUGCCGGAAGGUUAAUUGAUGGGGUUAGCGGUAACGCGAAGCUCUUGAUCGAAGCCCCGGUAAACGGCGGCCGUAACUAUAACGGUCCUAAGGUAGCGAAAUUCCUUGUCGGGUAAGUUCCGACCUGCACGAAUGGCGUAAUGAUGGCCAGGCUGUCUCCACCCGAGACUCAGUGAAAUUGAACUCGCUGUGAAGAUGCAGUGUACCCGCGGCAAGACGGAAAGACCCCGUGAACCUUUACUAUAGCUUGACACUGAACAUUGAGCCUUGAUGUGUAGGAUAGGUGGGAGGCUUUGAAGUGUGGACGCCAGUCUGCAUGGAGCCGGCCUUGAAAUACCACCCUUUAAUGUUUGAUGUUCUAACGUUGGCCCCUGAUCGGGGUUGCGGACAGUGUCUGGUGGGUAGUUUGACUGGGGCGGUCUCCUCCUAAAGAGUAACGGAGGAGCACGAAGGUUGGCUAAUCCUGGUCGGACAUCAGGAGGUUAGUGCAAUGGCAUAAGCCAGCUUGACUGCGAGCGUGACGGCGCGAGCAGGUGCGAAAGCAGGUCAUAGUGAUCCGGUGGUUCUGAAUGGAAGGGCCAUCGCUCAACGGAUAAAAGGUACUCCGGGGAUAACAGGCUGAUACCGCCCAAGAGUUCAUAUCGACGGCGGUGUUUGGCACCUCGAUGUCGGCUCAUCACAUCCUGGGGCUGAAGUAGGUCCCAAGGGUAUGGCUGUUCGCCAUUUAAAGUGGUACGCGAGCUGGGUUUAGAACGUCGUGAGACAGUUCGGUCCCUAUCUGCCGUGGGCGCUGGAGAACUGAGGGGGGCUGCUCCUAGUACGAGAGGACCGGAGUGGACGCAUCACUGGUGUUCGGGUUGUCAUGCCAAUGGCACUGCCCGGUAGCUAAAUGCGGAAGAGAUAAGUGCUGAAAGCAUCUAAGCACGAAACUUGCCCCGAGAUGAGUUCUCCCUGACUCCUUGAGGGUCCUGAAGGAACGUUGAAGACGACGACGUUGAUAGGCCGGGUGUGUAAGCGCAGCGAUGCGUUGAGCUAACCGGUACUAAUGAACCGUGAGGCUUAACCUU